This 1726-nucleotide ribosomal RNA is filed under the name Euglenaformis proxima. RNAcentral's name for it is "LSU rRNA". It matches the Rfam family "Bacterial large subunit ribosomal RNA", at positions 1017 to 2771 of the family's 2925-position model. Lineage: Eukaryota; Euglenozoa; Euglenophyceae; Euglenales; Euglenaceae. The record is from RNAcentral.
GGGAAACAGCCCAGAUCAUCAGCUAAGGUCCCUAAAUAAUAACUAAGUGAUAAAGGAUGUAAAUCGACAUAGACAACCAGGAGGUUGGCCUAGAAGCAGCAAUUUCCUUUAAAAAGUGCGUAAUAGCUUACUGGUUAAGUCUUUUUGCGCCGAAAAUGAACGGGGCUAAGUUAUUUACCGAAGCUAUGAGAUUUAUCGGUAGAGGAGCGUUCUGUUUUAGUGAGAAGCAAAAAUGGAAGUUUUUGUGGACUAUUCAGAAGUGAGAAUGUCGGCUUAAGUAACGAAAACAUCAGUGGAAAUCUGAUGCCCCGAAAACUCGAGGUUUCCUUUUCAAGGUUCGUCCAAAAAGGGUUAGUCAGGUCCUAAAAUGAGGUUUAAAAACGUAGUUGAUGGAAAACAGGUUAAUAUUCCUGUACAAUAUUUAAUGUUUAAUAGGGACGAAGGAGGCUAUACAAACCAGAUUUUGGUUGUUUUGGUUUAAGUUUUCAAGGUGUUGAGAGAUAUAUAAAAAUAUCUUGAGUUGAGAAACGAAUAAGAAUAUGCUAUGGUAUAUGAACUUGUAGAUGUCAUACUUCCAAGAAAAUCUUUGAUUACUUUAUUUAAAUGUUCCUGUACCAAACCGACACAGGUGAGUUUGUAGAAUAUACUAAGGGGCGCGAGGUAACUGUUUUUAAGGAACUCGGCAAAAUUUCUCUGUAACUUCGGGAUAAAGAGAGCCUUUAAUAGGCCGCAGUGAAUUCGUCCAAGCGACUGUUUACCAAAAACACAGGUCUUUGCUAAGUUGAAAAACUAUGUAUAAGGGCCGACGCCUGCCCAGUGCUUGAAGGUUAAAGAAAUUGGUGAACUUUUUAAGUGUAGCUAGUGACUGAAGCCCUAGUGAACGGCAGUUCUAACUAUGAGAAUUCGAAGGUAGCGAAAUUCCUUGUCGGGUAAGUUCCGACCCGCACGAAAGGCGUAACGAUUUGGAUACUGUCUCAAAAACAGACUCGGUGAAAUAGAAUUAAACGUGAAGAUGCGUUUUACUUGCACUUGGACAGAAAGACCCUAUGAAGCUUUACUGUACCUUGAAAUUGAAUUUGGGCAUCUUUUGCGCAGAAUAGGUGGGAAGCAAAGAUCCUCUUUUUCGGAAGAUGGGGAGCUAACAGUGAGAUACCACUCUAAAGACGUUAGAAUUCUAAUAAUAUUUUGGUAAUCAGAUAUUUGACAUUUUCAGGGGGGCAGUUUUACUGGGGCGGUAGCCUCCUAAAGAGUAACGGAGGCGUACAAAGGUUUUUUCAAUCUAAACGGAAACUAGUUGUAGAGUAUAAAGAUAUAAGAAAGCUUGACUGUAAGACUUAGAAGUCAAACAGAGACGAAAGUCGGUCUUAGUGAUCCGACGGUUGUGUGUGGAAAUGCCGUCGCUUAACCGAUAAAAGUUACUCUAGGGAUAACAGGCUGAUCUCCCCCAAGAGUUCACAUCGACGGGGAGGUUUGGCACCUCGAUGUCGGCUCAUCGCAACCUGGGGCGGAAGUACGUCCCAAGGGUUGGGCUGUUCGCCCAUUAAAGCGGUACGUGAGCUGGGUUCAGAACGUCGAGAGACAGUUCGGUCCAUAUCCGGUGUGAGCGUUAGAGUAUUGAGGGGAAUUUUUCCUAGUACGAGAGGACCGGAAAGAACAUACCACUGAUCUACCAGUUUUAUUUACCUAAAGAAUACGCUGGGUAGUUACGUAUGGAGUGGAUAACUGC